This 492-nucleotide ribosomal RNA is filed under the name uncultured bacterium. RNAcentral describes it as "partial 16S ribosomal RNA". It matches the Rfam family "Bacterial small subunit ribosomal RNA", at positions 29 to 507 of the family's 1533-position model. The record is from RNAcentral.
AGUGAACGCUGGCGGUAGGCCUAACACAUGCAAGUCGAACGGCAGCACAGUAAGAGCUUGCUCUUACGGGUGGCGAGUGGCGGACGGGUGAGGAAUACAUCGGAAUCUACUUUUUCGUGGGGGAUAACGUAGGGAAACUUACGCUAAUACCGCAUACGACCUACGUGUGAAAGCAGGGGAUCUUCGGACCUUGCGCGAUUGAAUGAGCCGAUGUCGGAUUAGCUAGUUGGCGGGGUAAAGGCCCACCAAGGCGACGAUCCGUAGCUGGUCUGAGAGGAUGAUCAGCCACACUGGAACUGAGACACGGUCCAGACUCCUACGGGAGGCAGCAGUGGGGAAUAUUGGACAAUGGGCGCAAGCCUGAUCCAGCCAUACCGCGUGGGUGAAGAAGGCCUUCGGGUUGUAAAGCCCUUUUGUUGGGAAAGAAAAGCAGCAGGUUAAUACCCCGCUGUUCUGACGGUACCCAAAGAAUAAGCACCGGCUAACUUCGUG